Molecule: non-coding RNA, 30 nt
Filed under: Rattus norvegicus (Norway rat)
Lineage: Eukaryota; Metazoa; Chordata; Mammalia; Rodentia; Muridae
Source: RNAcentral
UUCCAAUGUUUCUACAGGCAGAAAUGCCCC